GAAUGUCCGAGAAGCUCAUCCUCAGCAGUUGCAUUCUCCUCUGGACUAUACAGCCAUGUUCACAAAGCUGACUGCAAUCAUGUUAAUGGUAUCCCAGUUGUCUGCUUCAGACACCACUUCCAGUGGGUUACAUGGACCCUGUGGUCCUCCUGGACCUGCUGGACCCCCAGGUGUUCCUGGACCUGCUGGAACCCCAGGUUUUCCUGGAACCCCAGGUUUUCCUGGACCUGCUGGACCCCCAGGUGUUCCUGGACGUGCUGGACCCCCAGGUUUUCCUGGAGCCCGAGGUGCUCGUGGACCUUCUGAUAGACCAGUCCAGUACUGGGGACCAUACUGUGAGAAAAGCAUCAGAACCACUUCAGAGCUGAUGGUGUCUGUGACCCCCGAUAAUGUCACCGAGGGACAGAAUGCCACUUUGACCUGCAGGUCAUCUUGUCCCCUCCGUCAGAAUGCCAAACUUGUCUGGUACAAGAACUCCCAGCCGCUGCCUAAGAAAAACUCCACCA
This is a long non-coding RNA of Clupea harengus (Atlantic herring), 506 nucleotides long. NCBI's taxonomy places the organism in Eukaryota, Metazoa, Chordata, Actinopteri, Clupeiformes, Clupeidae. The record is from Ensembl.